ACUCCUACGGGAGGCAGCAGUGGGGAAUAUUGCACAAUGGGCGCAAGCCUGAUGCAGCCAUGCCGCGUGUAUGAAGAAGGCCUUCGGGUUGUAAAGUACUUUCAGCAGUGAGGAAGGUGGGUAUGUUAAUAGCAUACUCAUUUGACGUUAGCUGCAGAAGAAGCACCGGCUAACUCCGUGCCAGCAGCCGCGGUAAUACGGAGGGUGCGAGCGUUAAUCGGAAUUACUGGGCGUAAAGCGCAUGCAGGUGGUUUGUUAAGUCAGAUGUGAAAGCCCGGGGCUCAACCUCGGAAUUGCAUUUGAAACUGGCAAACUAGAGUACUGUAGAGGGGGGUAGAAUUUCAGGUGUAGCGGUGAAAUGCGUAGAGAUCUGAAGGAUACCGGUGGCGAAGGCGGCCCCCUGGACAGAUACUGACACUCAGAUGCGAAAGCGUGGGGAGCAAACAGGAUUAGAUACCCUGGUAGGCAUAG
RNAcentral lists this ribosomal RNA (471 nucleotides) under uncultured bacterium. RNAcentral describes it as "bacterial SSU rRNA". It matches the Rfam family "Bacterial small subunit ribosomal RNA", at positions 335 to 799 of the family's 1533-position model. The record is from RNAcentral.